Molecule: long non-coding RNA, 275 nt
Filed under: Brassica napus (rape)
Lineage: Eukaryota; Viridiplantae; Streptophyta; Magnoliopsida; Brassicales; Brassicaceae
Description: long non-coding RNA (BNAP_LNC015441)
Source: RNAcentral
AAGAAAAAACAUGAUUUCUUGAUUUCAAAAGAACUCCUUACGAGGCAUAUAAUAAACUUGAUAAGCUUUACAAAGAUAAUUUGGUAUUUGAUAUGAAAUAUUUUUAAUUGAUAUAAAAUACUUUACUUAAUUUAGUUUUAUAUUUGUGAUCAUGUGUAUGGAUUAAAGAUAUGAAAUAUUUGUUUUUAGAUAUCUUGAAUUAUACACUCGAGUUGUCAAAAAAGCACACUGGCAUAUAAUAUUUUUUUUUUUUUACAUCAAAAGGCUAUUCUAUC